This 245-nucleotide long non-coding RNA is filed under the name Glycine max (soybean). RNAcentral describes it as "long non-coding RNA (GMAX_LNC000849)". The record is from RNAcentral. Lineage: Eukaryota; Viridiplantae; Streptophyta; Magnoliopsida; Fabales; Fabaceae.
AGCUCCCGGCGGUGGAGAAGAAGCCCACGAGGAUGAGGAGAUGGCCGAUUUGCUUGACUUCUUGGGAGGGAGUGGAGAUACGUGACUGGGAGAUCCCCAGAUUCAUGUUUUCUUUCAUAUUUCUUUUGUCAUUUUUAUUCUAUGUUAUUGUUUUGACUUGAGAGACUAACGUUUGUUUUUGUUGUUUCGAUUGUCAUUUGUACAGCGCAUACAUUUUUGUUUAGAUUGUUGCGUUAGUAUUUAUA